AAACCAUAGAUAAGCUCACACGUUCACGGUUGCUGUUUGCUUGUUUAUUGGCGAUUAUUAUGGUCGUUUUUGUCAUUUGUUAAAAUGAGGUUAUGGGAAAUGUAAUUUUGUUGAAAACCAUUCGCAAAGUAUGUGUAAUGGUUUUUUAACACAAUUUACUGAUAACUGCACUAGUUUCAUAUUAAGAGGUUCGCCAUGGAUGUAACACCGAUAUUUCCUGUAAUACAUUCGCACAUGGAACAAGAAGAAAUGGAUGAUGCAAAGUGUUCAUCUAGUUUAGAAGGUAAUAGUCAAGAUGAUUAUGAUAGUCCUUUCAAACUUCAAGUACAAGCCCAUCGUGUGUUGAGGAAAAGAUCGCUACAGACACGUCUUGUUUCCACGUCUAAAAGACGGUUUUCUUUAAAGCCGAAGAAAGUAUUAGCAUCGACAGACAAAAAAAAUUCAGAGAACUUUUACUUGGAGAGUAAAUUUAAGUUAACAAGAAAAGCAUCUCUAGAAACUAUUUAUGAAGAACCAGUUACUGGAAAAGACGGUAGUGUUAAAUAUUCCGGACCAGCUAAACUGAGACGACUGAAUUUUGACAGUAUUGCACGGUCAAAAAUCAAGAAACGAAAAACAAAAAUAAAGAAGGUUUUGGGGGGUAAACGUUUGAAAAAACAGCGGAUGUCGAUGGACGAAUUCAUUUCAAAGCUUCGAGGGAUCUCAACGAAAGUUGAAAGUGAAGAAAUUGCAGCUUUGUUUACAACUUGUGAAAUUAAAUAGCAUUUCAUGAGGUACUACUCAUUCCUACUAAUUUUGUGAACUUUGUAUUGAGACUUCUUGGAUUGUGUUUGUAUUGAAGUUAAAUAUCCUAGGAAGGAAAUGCAAAGGCCUUGUAUGCUUUUGCUGCAGUGUAUUUUAUGUAUGCUCCUUUUGUUAAAAAAAAAAAAAAAAAUUGUAAGGAAUUUUAAGUAAGGGCUGGUAUCACAAUGCCUGGUUAUUUUCUAACUUCUGAUGAAAAUUUAACUUUUGUUUAGCAAAAUUUUCAGUUUCUUAACCUGUAGGUAACUAUCAUCCCAAUCGUUAUUUUAACUAAACAAUCGAACACAUUUCAGUUUGAGUCUAACCAUGACUAUAUUCACAGACCACGAAUUUUCAGAUAUUCAGCUACAUUGUUUAACAUAGCGUAGCAAACCAUCCAAUCAAUUUUAACGUAUUAUUAAUGUGGCUUAUCUAACCUAACGAACCAUCCACCUGAUUUUGCAUUGUUUUCAACAUAACUAAGCAUAAUCAACCAUCCACCCUAUUUUACAGUAUUUUCAAUGUAGCUAACACAAUCAGGGUAAAAAAAUUAUCCGCUACAAGUUGAAAUGCAGCACACCUUAAAAUAAAUAAUUUUAAAGCAUAUUAAGAAGUAAAAAAUUAAUUUUGGGGAUUUUAAAAUUAGUUUUAUGGAAAAGUGUCUCUGCUACUGAUUUACCAAAACCAAUUUCAUUCAGAAAAGUUAUUACAUGUUGGGAAACAACAUGUGAACAGGAAACCACGCGGGAUUCAGGAUUGCAAAACGUUUGUGCUGUCGAUCUAUUUUAUGAGCUUAAAGCUAUUAGGAUAACAAGAAGCAACCGAGGCUCGGGAUCGCAUGAAAUUUGCGCUGUCUGCCAAUGAGUAUGUUUUUUUAUUACUUUUCAACAAAAGAAAAAAUUACUAAACUUUUUUUUUUAAUGUGAUGGAGAAGCACAAUUGAGGGGUCUAGUGAGAGAGGGAGCUAUGCCACUUCAACAAAAAUGGAAAUAAUAAUUGGAAUUAUCUAAAGCAUUAUGUUGAGUCAUAAUUUUUAGGGUUUUGCAGGAGCUAUGCUACAUGGUUGUAGUUCACAUGAUAGAUGACCAAUAGCAGGCAAAGACUGAAAAUGGUAAAAAUUAAAAAUGUAAAUAUUUGUGCAUAGCUCCCUUCCUCACUAGACCCUUCAAUUGUGUUUGAUAUAAAAAUAAUAAUACACUUGUUUCAUUUACUAAAUGUUAUGUUAGUACUGUAUUGGUCAUUUUGCAUUCAUUUAUGUGGGAAUACUUUUCUAAAAAAAUUAUCCAACAAUGCUAGUCAGUAUACAGUGUCCAAUUUGUUCACUACACUUAACCGGUACAUAAAACAUUCACCAGCCAAUCACCACGUAAAACGAUAGAAACGAGAUGAGAAACACUCAAGACAAACCAAUGGUUGUAUGUAGUGGUUAAAUUUAUUAUUUGGUUACUUGACCAAUACUUUAAACGGACAUUGUGAAAACAGCCUUAAGUAUUUUAAUAGUGUGUUAUGACAAUAUUGUUAAAACCUAAAAAAAAAUUUACUGUGUUUUUAAUUCUGUGAGUUGGUCUUUAAUGCAAGUACAUAAUUAGCAUGGUUGGUUACAUUGUCUUAGAAAAAAUAUUCAUUUUUGAAUGUAAAAAAUUCUGAUUAUGGUGUGUAAAAUUGUUGUAGUAAAGCCACAAAAACAUCUUUAUUUCAGAUACCAAUACCAUUUAUUUUUAAUUCAAAUGUCUAUUACAUUCAUGUUAGUGUGAACUGUUUUGAAAUAAGUUUUUUUUAAUUAUUAUUUAUUUAUAGUAAGAAGCUAGUAUAUCUGUUGAUAUUUUAUAUCUGUAUCCAAAAUGUAAUAUUCAAACUGUACACAUUAUCCACUGAACAUGUACAUUAUUUAGGUACAUUAUUAUAAUAAAGAGGGUAGUCUGAUGUGGGGAAAUGCAAAUAUUGGUAAUACAGUAGAGUGUCGCUAAUCCGGACUUGUCCGGACAGACCCUGUCCAGUUCACCGAAAGUCAUCAACUUUAAAAUUUAUCAAAAACUAGUUUUAUAGGCUAAAGAAAAAAUCUUUAUGCUUAAAAAUCAACUGUGUUUUAUUAUAAAGUACUUAAGAAACUAGAUAAACAUGUAUGUAACUUAUAAAUAAUACAAUACAUUAAAAUUAUAAUUAAUUCACAUUUAAUUUUUCGUUGAGUUUGAGGGCGAAUGCUUGUAAUGUUAUGCCCGACAGCAGAACGACUUGUUCACGUUGUUAGCAAAACCAAAUUAAUAAAGCCUCGUCUAAAGUUUCAUUUUUUGGUUUUUUAACGUGCUUCUGUUACCCAGACUGUCCUUACUCACCAUUUUGGCACAAAAAUCUUCAAUUUCUUUCCAAUUUUUUUCCCGAUCAGAAACAGUUUGUUUUCCCACUCCAAAAUCUUGCGCGAUUCUAGUUAAUGAUUCACCAGCAUCAAUACGAAAUAAGACUUGGUGUUUUUGCUCCAUUGUUACAGUGACUUUCUUACGUUUAGUAGUCAUUACGUUGCUCUUAAUAAGUGCACACAAUACAACACUCGCACUAAAUAAAAAUAACUGUCACGAGCACCUAUCACCAGCACGAGUAACCAUCGACUGAAGGGAACAAAACAAAACACUCGCAGGUAUAGAGUGAGUCUUUCUUGGUAAACAGACGAUGAACGGAAAGCUAGCGGUAAGACUCCCGGCAACUGAGGGCAACAGGACCCUCUCUUAGAAAUGUAUUUCAUUAUCCUUUGUCACAACAUUAUUUUUCAUCCGUCCAGAUUAACAGAUGUCCGGACUAGCGAGAGACUACUGUAGCUCUGUUCAUUUUACAGUACUGUUAAUCUCAAGUGGGUAACCAAGGACUGUAAGUGGCAUAGGUAUUGCUAGCAAUUUCCUCAGAAUUACUAAAUGUUUCCUUCAUGUAAAAUGUCACAGCUACUAAGGUAUAUAUAUUCACUGCCUGUUUACAGAAGAGUGUGGAGUAUUAAUGCAUGUCUCAAAUCCGUUCAGUAAAAACUAGAGUAACUGUCUUAUAGUGGUACCUAAAGCUGUAACUGAAAAAAAAAAACACAAACCAGAUGACCUACCUAACUUGACAGUCUCCAAAAAGCUUUAUCAACUACAUGUUAAAGGAGCUGUACUCUCAAAAACUACAGAUUUUAGUUAGAUUGAAACUGAAAGUUUUAUUUGUUACUUAUUCAGUAAAAAAAUCCAGUUAUUUAGAAUAGAUUUGAUACUAAGAUUUUAUGCGUCAAAGAUUCCAGGAGAGUCAGCCAUGAAUAAUGUAGGCUGGUUACAGCCAAGCAUUUGCCGCUUCCGAUUUUUUAAGGUUGUAUAUCGUCGCUUAGAAACAAUACCGCCUAAGUGACUUUUUUAAAAUUAGUUUGUUUCUCCAUGGAAACGUUAGCAUUUAUUUGUCAUCUUCUCAUGAUGUGUUUCGCUGAAUACCCAACAAUAGGCUGUUAUGGUAUUUUUGUAACACCAGCUAUCAUUCAGUUCUAGCAUGGUGCCUAAAGUUAUUAGAUAUGUAUGCUUAAAAAUGAUUAUCAACAAGAAAUGUUUGUGUUUGGGUUAUUUUGGUUUUGUAAAAAAAAAAAAAAAAAAACGCCAAAUCAGAGUGGUAUUCAUGGAUUGUAAAAUAUAUUUUUUCAUGUAAUAGGCUUAUCACAGAUAUUUACUUAUUAAAAACUUUAAUUUAAUCAUUUGAUCUAAAAACUUCAAACCAUUAUACUGUAACAGUAUAACAGCACUUAAAACAAUGUUUUCCAGAUAAAUUAAUGGACUACUAUUAACUAUAGAAAUGGUAUAAAUAUUUUCUGCUGUUUGUAAUACCUAUGUAUUAUGAUUUGAGGUGAAUUUUUCAAUAAAAUAAUACAAAUUUUUCUAUUUA
This is a long non-coding RNA of Bacillus rossius redtenbacheri, 4665 nucleotides long. RefSeq lists it as uncharacterized. The record is from RefSeq and is a predicted model, not a curated record. The transcript has 2 exons. Lineage: Eukaryota; Metazoa; Arthropoda; Insecta; Phasmatodea; Bacillidae.